GCCGGCAUAGCCAAGUGGUAAGGCAACGGAUUGCAAAUCCGUCACCCCCAGUUCGAGUCUGGGUGCCGGCUCCA
RNAcentral lists this transfer RNA (74 nucleotides) under Planctomycetota bacterium. Its description in RNAcentral is "tRNA-Cys". It matches the Rfam family "tRNA". From Rfam's summary of the family: Transfer RNA (tRNA) molecules are approximately 80 nucleotides in length. Their secondary structure includes four short double-helical elements and three loops (D, anti-codon, and T loops). Lineage: Bacteria; Pseudomonadati; Planctomycetota. RNAcentral also lists the same sequence under 1 other name. The record is from RNAcentral.